Molecule: ribosomal RNA, 574 nt
Filed under: uncultured bacterium
Lineage: Bacteria
Description: partial 16S ribosomal RNA
Rfam family: Bacterial small subunit ribosomal RNA
Source: RNAcentral
UGGGGAAUUUUGGACAAUGGGCGAAAGCCUGAUCCAGCAAUGCCGCGUGUGUGAAGAAGGCCUUCGGGUUGUAAAGCACUUUUGUCCGGAAAGAAAUCCUUGGCUCUAAUACAGUCGGGGGAUGACGGUACCGGAAGAAUAAGCACCGGCUAACUACGUGCCAGCAGCCGCGGUAAUACGUAGGGUGCAAGCGUUAAUCGGAAUUACUGGGCGUAAAGCGUGCGCAGGCGGUUUGCUAAGACCGAUGUGAAAUCCCCGGGCUCAACCUGGGAACUGCAUUGGUGACUGGCAGGCUAGAGUAUGGCAGAGGGGGGUAGAAUUCCACGUGUAGCAGUGAAAUGCGUAGAGAUGUGGAGGAAUACCGAUGGCGAAGGCAGCCCCCUGGGCCAAUACUGACGCUCAUGCACGAAAGCGUGGGGAGCAAAACAGGAUUAGAUACCCUGGUAGUCCACGCCCUAAACGAUGUCAACUAGUUGUUGGGGGAUUCAUUUCCUUAGGUAACGUAGCUAACGCGUGAAGUUGACCGCCUGGGGAGUACGGUCGCAAGAUUAAAACUCAAAUGAAUUGACGGGGU